GAGGGUGUAGCUCAGUGAUAGAGCACAUACUCAGCAUGCACAAGGUCCUGGGUUCAAUCCCCAGCAACCUCC
Molecule: transfer RNA, 72 nt
Filed under: Camelus bactrianus (Bactrian camel)
Lineage: Eukaryota; Metazoa; Chordata; Mammalia; Artiodactyla; Camelidae
Also listed under: 2 other names
Rfam family: tRNA
About the family: Transfer RNA (tRNA) molecules are approximately 80 nucleotides in length. Their secondary structure includes four short double-helical elements and three loops (D, anti-codon, and T loops).
Source: Rfam by way of RNAcentral